Molecule: ribosomal RNA, 292 nt
Filed under: uncultured bacterium
Lineage: Bacteria
Description: partial 16S ribosomal RNA
Rfam family: Bacterial small subunit ribosomal RNA
Source: RNAcentral
GUGCCAGCAGCCGCGGUAAAACGUAGGGGACAAGCGUUAUCCGGAUUUACUGGGCGUAAAGCGCCCGUAGGCGGCUUUUUAAGUUGGACGUGAAAGCUCCCGGCUUAACUGGGAGAGGCCGUUCAAAACUGAGAGGCUAGAGUGAGGAAGAGGAGAGCGGAAUUCCCGGUGUAGUGGUGGAAUGCGUAGAUAUCGGGAGGAACACCAGUGGCGAAAGCGGCUCUCUGGUCCUAAACUGACGCUGAGGGGCGAAAGCGUGGGGAGCGAACGGGAUUAGAAACCCGUGUAGUCC